Salvelinus fontinalis (brook trout) is the source of this 334-nucleotide long non-coding RNA. RefSeq lists it as uncharacterized. The record is from RefSeq and is a predicted model, not a curated record. The transcript has 4 exons. Lineage: Eukaryota; Metazoa; Chordata; Actinopteri; Salmoniformes; Salmonidae.
AACUCUCUCACAUUGGCAGUUAAACUCUUCAAUGGCUGAAUAACAAGAACAAACCCAGUCAAAAUUGCCCAAUGGAGCCUAAGGUUUAAACAGAAACCUGCUGUGAAAACAUCAGAAGAAUCAUGCCUGGUCACCGUAGGGGAAGGAGCCUCUCUGAGGGGCUGAUGCUGGAGGAAUCAGAAAAAGGAGGAUUGGUCAUCUCCAGCGUUAUCGGUGGCUCUCCUGGCAAUCACGGGCUCAAAGAAGGAGAUGAAAUUGUGGGUGCCACAAUCAACUUUGACCAACUUUCGAAAGACGAUGUGUUGAAAAUACUGAAGCUGAUGGAUGAUAAUGG